UAGCAACACAAUGACUGUCAAAGAGCUCAUAAGAGAUUGGAACUGCUUUUGCAAUAAGUAAAGUCAAUGAAGAAAGUAAGAGGAUUGCAAAGGUUUCCCCCGCUGAUUCUGCCAACAGAAAUGUUUUUAUUGUGCUGCUUUGGACUGUCAUUCAUCAAGCAACCAGAGAGAAAAGAAGGCUCUUUACUGUCAGCUAAGCCUGAAAAAUACUUGGAAAGUACUUUGCUUCCCUGGGCUUGGGUCAUGGACAAGGCGUGGAAAAAAAACAGUGAAACAUUUCCAACUACAAUUUAAAGGAAUGCAUGUCAUUUAUUUAAAACAUAAAUCAGCAAACAGAGAGACAUAAAAUUACUAGUGGACUGCUUCAAGUUCAGAAGCCACUGCCCUGGUAGAGGAGUUACCAACGAUCACACAUCCUAUAGGAAUCCAACUACAGUGGCCCUGAGCUGAAACAGCAUGCGUUCCAUGCUCCUUUGCAUAAUUUGCCUACUUCUUCUCAUAUUUUGUAAAUAUAAAAUCUACUUCUGG
RNAcentral lists this long non-coding RNA (528 nucleotides) under Homo sapiens (human). RNAcentral's name for it is "HSALNT0102190". Lineage: Eukaryota; Metazoa; Chordata; Mammalia; Primates; Hominidae. The record is from RNAcentral.